Molecule: ribosomal RNA, 540 nt
Filed under: uncultured bacterium
Lineage: Bacteria
Description: bacterial SSU rRNA
Rfam family: Bacterial small subunit ribosomal RNA
Source: RNAcentral
GAACUUGCCCCUAAGUUGGGGAUAACAUGGCUAACGCCGUGCUAAUAACGAAUGUGGUUUAUCUAUCGCUUGAUAGGUAGACUAAAGGCGAGAGUUGCUUAGGGAGAGUCCCGCGUCCUAUUAGCUAGUUGGUAAGGUAAUGGCUUACCAAGGCGACGAUGGGUAGCCGGCCUGAGAGGGUGGUCGGUCACAUGGGCACUGAGACACGGGCCCAACUCCUACGGGAGGCAGCAGUCGAGAGGCUUCCACAAUGGACGAAAGUCUGAUGGAGCGACGCCGCGUGGAUGAUGACGCUUUUCGGAGUGUAAAGUCCUUUUAUACGGGACGAACGCAAUUAUUUAUAAUUGUUUGACGGUACCGUAUGAAUAAGCCACGGCUAACUCCGUGCCAGCAGCCGCGGUAACACGGGGGUGGCAAGCGUUGUUCGGAUUUACUGGGCGUAAAGGGUGUGUAGGCGGAAUUAGUCAGCCAGAGGUGAAAUCUUGCAACUUAACUGNUAGUCUGCCUUUGGAACAGCUAAAUCUUGAGUACGGUAGAGGA